RNAcentral lists this ribosomal RNA (789 nucleotides) under uncultured bacterium. RNAcentral describes it as "bacterial SSU rRNA". It matches the Rfam family "Bacterial small subunit ribosomal RNA", at positions 8 to 796 of the family's 1533-position model. The record is from RNAcentral.
AGAGUUUGAUCAUGGCUCAGGACGAACGCUGGCGGCGUGCUUAACACAUGCAAGUGGAGCGACGAACCGGGGCUUGCCCCGGGGCAGAGCCGCGAACGGGUGAGUAACACGUGGGUUACCUACCCCGAUGACCGGGACAACCCGAGGAAACUCGGGGCUAAUACCGGAUGUGGUCUUCGGACGAAAGGAAGCUUCGGCCUCCGCAUCGGGAUGGGCCCGCGGCGCAUUAGCUUGUUGGUGGGGUAACGGCCUACCAAGGCGACGAUGCGUAGCUGGUCUGAGAGGACGAUCAGCCACACUGGGACUGAGACACGGCCCAGACUCCUACGGGAGGCAGCAGUGGGGAAUCUUGCGCAAUGCGCGAAAGCGUGACGCAGCAACGCCGCGUGGGGGAAGAAGGCCUUCGGGUUGUAAACCUCUUUCAGUUGGGACGAAGCCUUGCGGGUUAAUAGCCCGUGGAGGUGACGGUACCUUCAGAAGAAGCCCCGGCUAACUACGUGCCAGCAGCCGCGGUAAUACGUAGGGGGCAAGCGUUGUCCGGAAUCAUUGGGCGUAAAGAGCGUGUAGGCGGCCCGAUAAGUCCGCUGUGAAAGUCCAGGGCUCAACCCUGGAAUGCCGGUGGAUACUGUCGGGCUCGAAUCCGGAAGAGGUGAGUGGAAUUCCUGGUGUAGCGGUGAAAUGCGCAGAUAUCAGGAGGAACACCAAUGGCGAAGGCAGCUCACUGGGACGGUAUUGACGCUGAGACGCGAAAGCGUGGGGAGCAAACAGGAUUAGAUACCCUAGUAGUCC